Xiphophorus hellerii (green swordtail) is the source of this 477-nucleotide long non-coding RNA. RefSeq lists it as uncharacterized. The record is from RefSeq and is a predicted model, not a curated record. Lineage: Eukaryota; Metazoa; Chordata; Actinopteri; Cyprinodontiformes; Poeciliidae. The transcript is spliced from 3 exons.
CAGGUGGCACCAUUAGGUGUCGCACUCUCUCCAGCCUGUGCCUCCAUAAAGGUUAAGCUGGAAGGAUGGUGGCCAGGUGUCAAUUUCCCGUGUGUCAGACCAGCUGUGUGUUGGGCCCACGCUGUUUGCUGGCUGUGGACUGCAUUGUUGAUGGUGUUCGGCUGGCAGCGUUACCUGGGCGUGGGUGUUCGACGCCGCAGGGUUGCACCACAUUGGAUACACCAAGAUUUGAUUUGAAAGUGUUGAUUUAUGCAAUGCAGGUAGGCAGUGUUUUAGUGUGUUCUAGGUUGAUUUGAUUAAAAUGAUUUAAUGCGCAUUUAGCAAUUUUUGUGUUUUAGUUUCACAGUUUUUGCACUGCCUCCUGCUGUCCCUUUUAGCGUUUGGGUUUUUUUUUUCUUUUUUGUUAGUCCGCCCAGUUAGGAUCAUUUUUCUGCUUGUAGUACUUGUGAGGGCAGGCUGACAACUUUUUCAUUCAUU